RNAcentral lists this ribosomal RNA (465 nucleotides) under uncultured bacterium. RNAcentral describes it as "partial 16S ribosomal RNA". It matches the Rfam family "Bacterial small subunit ribosomal RNA", at positions 35 to 507 of the family's 1533-position model. The record is from RNAcentral.
GCUGGCGGCGUGCUUAACACAUGCAAGUCGAACGAUGAACCCGGAGCUUGCUCUGGGGGAUUAGUGGCGAACGGGUGAGUAACACGUGAGUAACCUGCCCUGGACUCUGGGAUAAGCGUUGGAAACGACGUCUAAUACCGGAUAGGACCUUGGAUCGCAUGAUCUGGGGUGGAAAGUUUUUUCGGUCUGGGAUGGACUCGCGGCCUAUCAGCUUGUUGGUGAGGUAAUGGCUCACCAAGGCGUCGACGGGUAGCCGGCCUGAGAGGGUGACCGGCCACACUGGGACUGAGACACGGCCCAGACUCCUACGGGAGGCAGCAGUGGGGAAUAUUGCACAAUGGGCGAAAGCCUGAUGCAGCAACGCCGCGUGCGGGAUGACGGCCUUCGGGUUGUAAACCGCUUUUAGUAGGGAAGAAGGGCUUCGGCUUGACGGUACCUGCAGAAAAAGGACCGGCUAACUACGUG